RNAcentral lists this ribosomal RNA (691 nucleotides) under Lentilactobacillus buchneri. RNAcentral describes it as "bacterial SSU rRNA". It matches the Rfam family "Bacterial small subunit ribosomal RNA", at positions 61 to 708 of the family's 1533-position model. Lineage: Bacteria; Bacillati; Bacillota; Bacilli; Lactobacillales; Lactobacillaceae. The record is from RNAcentral.
GUCGAACGCGUCUCCGUUAAUGAUUUUAGGUGCUUGCACUUGAAAGAUUUAACAUUGAGACGAGUGGCGAACUGGUGAGUAACACGUGGGUAACCUGCCCUUGAAGUAGGGGAUAACACUUGGAAACAGGUGCUAAUACCGUAUAACAACCAAAACCACCUGGUUUUGGUUUAAAAGACGGCUUCGGCUGUCACUUUAGGAUGGACCCGCGGCGUAUUAGCUUGUUGGUAAGGUAACGGCUUACCAAGGCGAUGAUACGUAGCCGACCUGAGAGGGUAAUCGGCCACAUUGGGACUGAGACACGGCCCAAACUCCUACGGGAGGCAGCAGUAGGGAAUCUUCCACAAUGGACGAAAGUCUGAUGGAGCAACGCCGCGUGAGUGAUGAAGGGUUUCGGCUCGUAAAACUCUGUUGUUGGAGAAGAACAGGUGUCAGAGUAACUGUUGACAUCUUGACGGUAUCCAACCAGAAAGCCACGGCUAACUACGUGCCAGCAGCCGCGGUAAUACGUAGGUGGCAAGCGUUGUCCGGAUUUAUUGGGCGUAAAGCGAGCGCAGGCGGUUUUUUAGGUCUGAUGUGAAAGCCUUCGGCUUAACCGGAGAAGUGCAUCGGAAACCGGGAGACUUGAGUGCAGAAGAGGACAGUGGAACUCCAUGUGUAGCGGUGAAAUGCGUAGAUAUAUGGAAGAACA